CGGACGGGUGAGUAAUGUCUGGGAAACUGCCCGAUGGAGGGGGAUAACUACUGGAAACGGUAGCUAAUACCGCAUAACGUCGCAAGACCAAAGAGGGGGAUCUUCGGGCCUCUUGCCAUCGGAUGUGCCCAGAUGGGAUUAGCUAGUAGGUGGGGUAACGGCUCACCUAGGCGACGAUCCCUAGCUGGUCUGAGAGGAUGACCAGCCACACUGGAACUGAGACACGGUCCAG
Molecule: ribosomal RNA, 232 nt
Filed under: uncultured bacterium
Lineage: Bacteria
Description: partial 16S ribosomal RNA
Rfam family: Bacterial small subunit ribosomal RNA
Source: RNAcentral